CCCUUAGACACUCUAGGCGGCACGCGCGCUACAAUGGGUGGAAGAACGUGUUACUGCCUCCGAAAGGAGGGGUGAAUCACGAAUUCUUGCCCGUGAAUGGGAUAGUUUGUUGCAAUUUUCGGACUUGAACUAGGAAUCCCUUGUAAACAUGCUCAAGAAUAGCGUGUUGAAUACGUCCCUGCCGUUUGUACACACCGCCCGUCGUUUCUUCCGACUGAUACUCAUUGUGAGUUGUAAGGACCCUUUAUUGGGAAAUUGCUGCAAAUGCUUUGUAUUGGAGGAAGAAAAAGUCGUAACA
Molecule: ribosomal RNA, 298 nt
Filed under: uncultured eukaryote
Lineage: Eukaryota
Description: partial 18S ribosomal RNA
Rfam family: Eukaryotic small subunit ribosomal RNA
Source: RNAcentral